GCUAUAUCAGCCCACACCACACACACAACUCACAUAUUCACACACACAACACCUAAAACACACACUACACACGCCAUUUUCCAUUUAAGCUUGGACGGAGCUUUUGACCUCCGAUUUGAGCACCGAGACGAGCGCCGAUCAUCUUUUCGAUCAUGUAUCUAAGUAGGUCCUUUUGGGAAGUAACGACUUGAGGGAGAGAGUGACGUUACUCAUUGAUACAGAGACACAACGAGGUUGAGCUGAUGUGAUGAUGGUGCUGCAAUGAGCGGAGUCUCCAGGGUUGUUAAUAAAUAGUUAACCUGUCUAGAAUAUGUCUUCAUACAUAUGUCUAGCUACUUUCCGCUGCAAGAUGUUGUUGAUGUUAUAGUAUGUUAUGUCAUACUUUGAGUCUUAAGAGAAUGGUUUCAUAUGAUGUAUAACUUGAUUAAUGAUAUUAAUUAAGUUUUAUGUUGUCUUUCA
Molecule: long non-coding RNA, 459 nt
Organism: Salvia miltiorrhiza (redroot sage)
Lineage: Eukaryota; Viridiplantae; Streptophyta; Magnoliopsida; Lamiales; Lamiaceae
Exons: 3
Source: RefSeq, a predicted model, not a curated record